RNAcentral lists this ribosomal RNA (451 nucleotides) under uncultured bacterium. RNAcentral describes it as "bacterial SSU rRNA". It matches the Rfam family "Bacterial small subunit ribosomal RNA", at positions 340 to 786 of the family's 1533-position model. The record is from RNAcentral.
UACGGGAGGCAGCAGGGGGAAUAUUGCACAAUGGGCGCAAGCCUGAUGCAGCCAUGCCGCGUGUAUGAAGAAGGCCUUCGGGUUGUAAAGUACUUUCAGUCGUGAGGAAGGUGUUAAGGUUAAUAACCUUAGCAAUUGACGUUAGCGACAGAAGAAGCACCGGCUAACUCCGUGCCAGCAGCCGCGGUAAUACGGAGGGUGCGAGCGUUAAUCGGAAUUACUGGGCGUAAAGGGCACGCAGGCGGUUAAUUAAGUUGGAUGUGAAAUCCCCGGGCUUAACCUGGGAAUGGCAUUCAAGACUGGUUAGCUAGAGUCUUGUAGAGGGGGUAGAAUUCCAUGUGUAGCGGUGAAAUGCGUAGAGAUGUGGAGGAAUACCGGUGGCGAAGGCGGCCCCUGGCAAAGACUGACGCUCAUGUGCGAAAGCGUGGGGAGCAAACAGGGAUUAGAUACC